CUACGGGCGGCUGCAGUGGGGAAUAUUGGGCAAUGGGCGAAAGCCUGACGCAGCAACGCCGCGUGAGUGAUGAAGGCCUUCGGGUCGUAAAGCUCUGUCAAGUGGGAAGAACCUAUGUAAUGUUAAUAUCAUUAUAUACUGACGGUACCACUGAAGGAAGCACCGGCUAACUCCGUGCCAGCAGCCGCGGUAAUACGGGGGGUGCAAGCGUUAUUCGGAAUCAUUGGGCGUAAAGGGCACGUAGGCGGCCUGGUAAGUCAGAUGUGAAAGCCCGGGGCUUAACCCCGGAAGUGCAUUUGAUACUGUCAGGCUUGAGUAUGGGAGAGGGAAGUGGAAUUCCUGGUGUAGAGGUGAAAUUCGUAGAUAUCAGGAGGAACACCGGUGGCGAAGGCGACUUCCUGGACCAAUACUGACGCUGAGGUGCGAAGGCGUGGGUAGCAAACAGGAUUAGAUACCCGCAUAGUC
Molecule: ribosomal RNA, 465 nt
Filed under: uncultured bacterium
Lineage: Bacteria
Description: partial 16S ribosomal RNA
Rfam family: Bacterial small subunit ribosomal RNA
Source: RNAcentral